GGAUUGUUGAUGUUUAUGAGGAGGUGAAGAGGAAGGAGAGCUUCGGGGAACGGAAUGAGGACUGCAAGAAGGGGAAAAAGGAGUCUCAAGUUCACACGAGCCCUUUGAAAUCGACACCAGGUACAUCAACGUCUAAAAUCACUCCGCCUCCCUUCCUCAAGCCCCCCUACGUAUUUUACCUUAAAGUGUAGUUAUCAUGCACACUAGGCUCAUUUCGUAAACCCCGUGUUUUUCAGAAUUCAACCCCUACCCAACAAAAUGAGAACAAUUGUUACUUAGAGACGAAUCCAGACACGGACUAAGGACAUAAAUAUCAUUAUCUACCUCUGUUAUGAUUUUCCCUUCGAGAAAACUGCUCUCUGAGACAUUAGUUUUAGUUAUCGAUUGAUAUAAAAGCAAACGUGGGCACGAUAGUUAUUGGACAAGAUACUUAGUACUCCAUAAACUACAUAAAGAUGUAAUUAAAGGUGGAUGACUGGUGGUGCAUAACUCGAAAGGUCCUGAAGGAACAGAGGUAACUCAACAAAAUCGUCGAAAUUAUUUCGAUAUUAUUGAUAAAAGUUACAUAUUUCCAUUAAAGUAUCACUUGACCGCUUCUUCGGUUAAUUUUAAUGCGUUCAACUCCUAGAUGAGAUUCAAAUAACUAAAAAUAUCUGUAUAAAAUCUCAACUCAUAAUCUAAAGUACAAGCCCUGCUUUCAACACGAACAUUUUUCCAUUCAAAAAACAUUGAAAUUUCAACAUUUCCACAAAUUACUUUUUUUUUCUUUUUUUUAAAGGCUUUAAAAAUAUCAAAUUAGAUCGAAUAUUUUGGAUAUUGAGUUGAGAAUAAUUCCUUUAAUUGGGCACCUGAUUUGAGAAAAUUCUUUAUCGAGAUAAAGAAUUCUCUAAAAUUCUUCUUUUCUAAAAUCACAAAAUUAACUUAAUUUUUUAAAAAAUAUGUUUUUUUGUUAGUUAUUUGUAACUCAUUUGGGGGUUGAACGCAUUAAAAUUGGCGAAGGAGGUGGAUAAGUGGCACCUUAACUUCCAUUCGUACUAUUGUGAAAUUCAUAUCAACCUUGUGAAUUAUUUUCACCUCAAAAUGUAUUAUUUAUGAAGUUCAUGGUGAAGUCUUGACUAAAUGCUAAUAGCCUUGUUUUUCGCGUGUCUAUUUGGAGACUCAACCGGGCGUUUUUUUUAACUCAAUCAUUUUGACGUGUUCCUGAGGUUUAAAGUCCAUCGGCAAAAUAUGUUAUGUGUUUCUGGUCGAGUUUUGAGGAUUCAUAUAUUUAUAUACCUUCUAACGUAUGAUAUAUUUAUGAUAUCCACAAUAUCGAAGAGAAAAACAAAUAUUUUUCAAGACUGCGUAUUCAUCUAGCAGACAGUCGAAAUUUUUUUCUACUUUGAAUCAAUUCAAAAAAAUUUGCUUCUGUCUGAAAUAAACAAGCGAUGGAACACGUCUUUAUAUUUACUAAAGUGUUUUAUGUUUCCAAGAUUCAAAUCUUCUUUUAGAAACCUGAGAAGUGAAAAAAACUACCGAAAUACGACGAAAAUUUAGCGUCAUAAAUUCUCAGCCAAAAGGGGACGAAAAAACAGGCGAAGUAGCGUAAAAAAUUGUUCUUUUUACAGGAACCAGAUGAAAUUAGUAGAGGGUGAUCUGAAGAGGAUAAAUAAUUUUAAGGAAUAUUUGAAAAUACAAGAUGGGGGCGCCGCCAUUUUUUUUAAAACCUCUUCUGACAAAAGGCGCAAGAUGGCGGCACCCACAUUUACUAUCUCUUCGUAAUUUUUGAAUGUUGAUUGAAAUUAUUUGUCCUCUUCAGAUCACUUUCGAUUCGUUCCAUCCAGCCCCUUUACAAAUAACCAUUUCUUAAGGGGUUACACUACUGAAAUUUGAAAGUCCUGAAAUAACAAAAUGACCUUUGUGAGAUUUUUCUCACAUGUGUAGUCCCUAAAAAAAUAUAUUUUGACCCAUCUACACCCGUCCACUAUGGCGGCGAAUUAAAAAAAAAUAAAAACGAUUUUGCCCUUUGAAAGUCUACAAAGUGAGGAAAAGUAUUCCGAUUGUCUUGAAAUCGAUACACAAUGUUCAGAACACUGGAAUAAACAAAGCUAUAGAUGGAAAUUCGAAUCGGAUGAUUUUUAGAUUUUAAUCUAAAAAUUUCUGAUUUUAAUCACCCGGAAAUCGAAAAAAUAACGAAAUACGAAAAAUUCGAGUUAGUCAACUUGCUUUGAUCCGAUUAACCUUCAAAGGGCAAAAUCGGGUUAUUCCGUUUUUUUAAAUGCCCUGCCAGAUUGAGUGGGCGUAGCUGGGUCAAAAUAUAUUUUUUUAGUGACUACAUAUGUGAGAAAAAUCUCACAGAGGCCAUUUUUUUAUUGUAAAACUUUCAAAUCUCAAUAGUGUCUCCCUUAAGUUAUAUUUCUGAUUCUUCCCUCCCCUUUUUCAUUCGUUAAUGCCUCUUAGACUUCGUACUACGUUUGUAUCAGAAAAACUCGAAGCUUCAUUCAAUGAUUUCUUUGAAUUCUCGCUUCAAUGAAUCACCUAUGUUUCUACCAAGCAUUGAUAUAGAUUUCUCAAUAGGGACCUUACAUGAAGCACAAUUCUUUCUAAUUCCCCGAUUCACACAUUCCUCGUAACAUAUGGACAACUAAACGGCUAAAACUAUGGAGAACUAUUGCUCGAUGUCUUGUGAUAAUUAAUUGAAAAUCAAUCGUUUUCGAGAUCAAUUUUUCGGUUAUGACGUCACAAAGACGGUCAGGUAACGUUUCAUUGGCCGAAAAAGAAGAGAGUGGGGCCUUAUCGUCCUCUAUUGGCCGAGGCGCACCUCAGAAUUGAGUUAAGUCUGCUCAAGCUAUUCUGUCAUUAGUUCAGCGCUCGACCGUCUGUGUAACGUCAUUAGCAAUUUCAAAGCGUUUGAAAUCUUCAACUUUUAACAAUUAAUUAUUAAUUAACGAGCAAUAUUUCAAACGUUUGUGAAUGAAAAGUGAAUUAUUCAAGUCCCAAACUUGAGAAAUUGAAAAAAAAUUCAUGCAAAUUUCCUAUUGAGGGCGUAACAGAAUGCCGCCAAUUUUCCAAAUUUUUGAAACAAUUUCCCGCCGAAAGUUAUGGAUAUUUUUACAUAGCAAAGCACAUUAAUCUCCUGGAGGUGAUGAUGAAGAUCAAUGUGCCUCAAGUUCGAAAAAUAUCAAUAAAUUUAAAGAGUAUAAACUCUUGGGCCUAAAACUAAACUUUGAAGGCUGUUCUUGCGUCGAAUAAUAGGAUAAAGCAUUCACUUUAUCCUUCCGACGAAUAUUUACUGUCUUCUAGAUGAAAAAGAAAAAUUAUACCGUUAUUGAGGAGCGUUGGAAGAGCACAAUAGUUGAAAUGGAAAGUUAGAGAAACUUUAGAUUCAUCCUAAAGAGCGAGAUGAAUGGUAUUUUGUUGAGUAUUUGUUACAUUGGGACCCAUGGAUACAGUAAUUUAGCAGAUGUAUAUCACCGUUUCCAGUAGAUAGUUGGAAAAAAAGAUUUCUCUUUAUUUACCCCCCUCUAUUGCAAUGAAGCCUUCGAACGUGCAAUUUUUAUAUGACGUAAGAGCAGAGUGUUAUUGUAUCGAUUCCAUAUAUUAUAUAAAAAUCAUUGUUUAUGGAGAAUUAGGCAGAAUGUAAUCGUUCUAUGUUCCAAUGUGAAAUGGAAAAUGUUUAAAACGAGGUGAUAAGUAUUAUUACAUGAUAGAUGAGGUAACCAUGGAGUGGUAAACAUUGAAAAUGGCAAUUUUAUAUUAUACAAAAAUUAGAUAGGAUAAUUGAAUAAUGAUUAUCAAUUGACGCUAUGAGGACUAAUGCUUGAAUUGAGUUCCUGCGAGUUAGAUUAUUUCUAGGACGAAUUGUAUAUCGAAUGAUGUUACAAUAAUUACGUAUGUUGCUGGACAAAAAUAAGAAUUUGUUAUUCACUGUUGUAAGCUGA
Diachasma alloeum is the source of this 3920-nucleotide long non-coding RNA. RefSeq lists it as uncharacterized. Lineage: Eukaryota; Metazoa; Arthropoda; Insecta; Hymenoptera; Braconidae. The record is from RefSeq and is a predicted model, not a curated record. The transcript is spliced from 2 exons.